RNAcentral lists this long non-coding RNA (993 nucleotides) under Anser brachyrhynchus (Pink-footed goose). Its description in RNAcentral is "lncRNA (ENSABRG00000020239.1)". The record is from RNAcentral. Lineage: Eukaryota; Metazoa; Chordata; Aves; Anseriformes; Anatidae.
GAAAGACUGCCACCUUUAUCCUAUUAUGUUCGUGCAGUCUGUACUUUGAGAAGAUUCUCACCUUCUUUUGGGUCAAUAAGUGUUGACAGUGUCAAAAUCGUUACAAAAGUGAGCCCUUAAUGAGCUUCAAGUUGAUUUUUUUUUUCAGGACCUAGAUGACAUUUGCAGAGCCUACAGCAUAGUGAAGACAGAAUGAUUUCUGGCCGUCUCUCUGAGGUCCUUUUCAAGGUACAAUAAACAGAAAGCAGCUCUGCAAAGGGAGCAGCAAUAGCUGCUUAAUCAACAAUGGCUUCUACAAGAACGUCCAUCCCAGGAGCACAGCAGAACUGACAACGUAUCAUCUCUAUGACUGCUAGUCCAGCUUCUGGCUGAAAUGGGGCUGCUGUCAUCAGCACACAUGGGGCUGCUACAUGGAAGGAUUUUCUGGAGUAUUCAACCAAAGCCAGUCUGCAGUCCAGUACACAUCUGCAGCAAUGGAAGAAAUGUCCCAGGCUUUCCUGUUCCUCUGAGACAGAAGGAUGAUGCAGAGGUCCCUAACCUUGCUUGGGCCACUGGUGUUAGCAUUGCUGAGGCUUAAAUCCACAGCUGAAGGGCAGCUGCCUUCUAAGGUGAGCAAGACCCAGUUCACUUUACCUCCUCUGUGGCACUACUUCCUUUGGUGAAGUGGUAGUCCUGGAGCCUUCCGUCUUGGAAGAAGUCAAAUACUGACUUGGACUACAGACAGACCAGUUGCAAAAAAGUCUCGUUUUUAAUAGCCCUAGUGCUGAGUGCUUUGCAUCAACAUCCUUUUUUUUUUCUUUUUUUUUCUUUUUUUUUUUUUUUUUGCAGCAGUGUUAUUCUUAAACAUUGUGUAAUAUACUAGAUUUUAAGAUGAGAAUAGUAAUCUGGAAAUACCUGGUUUAGGCAUUUGGGGCUGAUCUAACAGCUGAAAUGAAACUGCCCUAUCUUACAUAGAGGACAUAAAAAACACACACACAAAACACAAGACAAAAG